Molecule: RNase P RNA, 369 nt
Filed under: Xylanibacter ruminicola
Lineage: Bacteria; Pseudomonadati; Bacteroidota; Bacteroidia; Bacteroidales; Prevotellaceae
Also listed under: 2 other names
Description: Prevotella ruminicola Bacterial RNase P class A
Rfam family: Bacterial RNase P class A
About the family: Ribonuclease P (RNase P) is a ubiquitous endoribonuclease, found in archaea, bacteria and eukarya as well as chloroplasts and mitochondria. Its best characterised activity is the generation of mature 5'-ends of tRNAs by cleaving the 5'-leader elements of precursor-tRNAs. Cellular RNase Ps are ribonucleoproteins.
Source: RNAcentral
GCACUGUCGCGGUUUGUCGCUGGUGUCAUUUUGGCACGAGAGGAAAGUCCGGGCAGCAUAGGGCGCUCCACUUCCGAAAGUAGAAGCUAUUGGUGACAGUAGGUGACGGCAGAAGAGAAUGACCGCCUUCGCUUCGGUGAGGGUAAGGGUGAGAAGGUGGUGUAAGAGACCACCAGCCGAUGGGUGAUCAUCGGGCUGUGUCGACUGGAGGCUGCAAGUUCAUGUAUACCGUCGUCUGAGGGUAGCCCGCUCGAGUUAUACGACGGAGGGUAGAACGCUUGAGCCAUGGGGUGACUUGUGGACUAGAUAAAUGACAGACAGCCACACUUGUUGUGGAUACAGAACCCGGCUUAUAGCGACAGUGCUUUU